UACAGAGGUCUCAACCGUUGUUCGGAUUCAUUGGGCGUAAAGGGUGCGUAGGCGGUCGCGCAAGUCGGAUGUGGAAUCUCAGGGCUCAACCCUGAAACUGCAUUCGAUACUGCGUGGCUAGAGUGCUGGAGGGGAGACUGGAAUUUACGGUGUAGCAGUGAAAUGCGUAGAUAUCGUAAGGAAGACCAGUGGCGAAGGCGAGUCUCUGGACAGCAACUGACGCUGAGGAGCGAAAGCGUGGGGAGCGAACAGG
This 253-nucleotide ribosomal RNA is filed under the name uncultured bacterium. RNAcentral describes it as "partial 16S ribosomal RNA". It matches the Rfam family "Bacterial small subunit ribosomal RNA", at positions 524 to 776 of the family's 1533-position model. The record is from RNAcentral.